GGAUAACACUUAGAAAUAGGUGCUAAUACCGCAUAAGCGCACAGCUUCGCAUGAAGGAGUGUGAAAAACUGAGGUGGUAUAUGAUGGAUCCGCGUCUGAUUAGCCAGUUGGUGAGGUAACGGCUCACCAAAGCGACGAUCAGUAGCCGGCCUGAGAGGGCGGACGGCCACAUUGGGACUGAGACACGGCCCAGACUCCUGCGGGAGGCAGCAGUGGGGGAUAUUGCACAAUGGGGGAAACCCUGAUGCAGCGACGCCGCGUGAGUGAAGAAGUAAUUCGUUACGUAAAGCUCUAUCAGCAGGGAAGAAAAUGACGGUACCUGACUAAGGAGCCCCGGCUAACUACGUGCCAGCAGCCGCGGUAAUACGUAGGGGGCAAGCGUUAUCCGGAAUUACUGGGUGUAAAGGGAGCGCAGACGGCAGUGCAAGUCUGGAGUGAAAGCCCGUGGCUUAACCACGGGACUGCUCUGGAAACUGUGCAGCUAGAGUGCAGGAGAGGCAGGCGGAAUUCCUAGUGUAGCGGUGAAAUGCGUAGAUAUUAGGAGGAACACCGGUGGCGAAGGCGGCCUGCUGGACUGUAACUGACGUUGAGGCUCGAAAGCGUGGGGAGCAAACAGGAUUAGAUACCCUGGUAGUCCACGCCGUAAACGAUGAUUACUAGGUGUCGGGGGACGAUAGUGCUCCGGUGCCGGCG
Molecule: ribosomal RNA, 693 nt
Filed under: uncultured bacterium
Lineage: Bacteria
Description: bacterial SSU rRNA
Rfam family: Bacterial small subunit ribosomal RNA
Source: RNAcentral